GGGGAGAGUUCUAUGGAAGAGACCAAUGGAGUCCAGAUGCCAAGCAAUGAACUCUAAGCAGACUGCACGGAUUCUUCUAAAGCACAUUUGAAGAACUGCGCUUGCAGUUAAUUUGGCCCCAAAAAAAUUGGAGUGCUUCCAGACAUUCCAAAAGCAGCAUGCUGCUGCUGUAAGUUUUUAACUCUCUUAGAAAAGGUUAAUCCAGAGUGAGGCUUGACGUCGGUGGCAUAGAGGGAAAUGAACAAGAAAAUGAAGGCAAGAUAUCUACAUCAAAUCUUAAUCAUCAGGAUCCAUUUCCUCAUCCUGUUCCAGGGAUGGAAUUGCAUCAGCUCCAUUGUAUCCUUCGGAUUCUGACUGCCCCUCUAAAUCAGUCUCAUCUUCUUGAGAAUCAACUUCAUCAGCAUUAGCCUCUUGAGUUCUUAGUUGUUGCAUCCAUUUGGGGCACUCGUCCUGCCCUUCAAACAACAGAUGGAGAUUGUUGUUCUUUCCUGAAUGCACAAUAUCAGUAGCCUUGACAGUUGAACAUGAGCAUUCUGGAAUAGGGUGAGAGAGGAAAAACUUUGUUUUUGAUAGAUUAGAUUCCUUCAAAAGGCCCUCUUCUGCCAGGCUUUUGUUGAGAUGUUCUCUGACAGCAAAAGUCCAAUUACGAGGUGGAUAAUAAAGAUGAUCGACGGUAGUAUUAAAGAGCUCUGCAAGAUAUUUCCUGUUUGGCCGAAAUGUUCUUGCAGAUGCCAUCUCAUAAAGUCGGUGUCCCAUCACCAAGCUAGCAAAAUCAGGCCCACUACCAUCAUUGUCAAAACCAGGGAAAAAAACUUCAGCGUCCACCGAAACUAUGUAAUCAAGAGCAUCCCAUAGCAGUCGGUGUGCUUGCUCCCUCUGAUCAUUGAGAGAAGGUUCUGGUUCCUUAUCUUUCUCUGCAACCCACCCAUACCAGCCUUCUUUUUCAUGUCGAUAAAUAGGUCGAUCAGGAGGAGGUGGUAGAGGCCUUGGGCGGGGCCCAGACUUGUCCCAUUCUGAUUUUAGUUGAUUUGGACUUUUUACUGGUAAAAGCUGAUCAGGAUCAGGAAUAAGGGGGGUUUCAGGGCCAACUAAAUUAGCUAGCUCUGUUUUGCUGCACAAUGAAGUACGAUCAACUAAAUUGGUGUACAUGGCGCGUAAAGGUAUCAUAACCCGUUG
Molecule: unclassified non-coding RNA, 1176 nt
Filed under: Hevea brasiliensis (rubber tree)
Lineage: Eukaryota; Viridiplantae; Streptophyta; Magnoliopsida; Malpighiales; Euphorbiaceae
Source: RNAcentral